Molecule: long non-coding RNA, 792 nt
Filed under: Oryzias sinensis (Chinese medaka)
Lineage: Eukaryota; Metazoa; Chordata; Actinopteri; Beloniformes; Adrianichthyidae
Description: lncRNA (ENSOSIG00000013489.1)
Source: RNAcentral
UGUGUGUUCAUGUAUAUGUACGUAGCACAGGUGCGUUUCCCGCCUCAGGUUACCGUUGACGCCGCCUGUGUUUGCAGGUUGUCACUCCAGACAUGGCGGACUUCCUGCAGAGGCUCAGGACUCGGGUUCGGGUGGGCGUGGUCGGCGGGUCGGACCUCAGUAAGAUCCAGGAGCAGCUGGGAGCGGACGUGAUCCAGAAGGUGGACUACGUGUUCGCUGAGAACGGUCUGGUGGCCUACAAGAACGGACAGCUGCUCUCUGUGCAGUCCAUUCAGGCCCACAUGGGGGAGGAGCUUCUGCAGGACUUCAUCAACUUCUGCCUGAACUACAUGGCCUCCAUCAAGUUACCCAAGAAGAGGUAACGUCCCACCGUCUGCAGCCUUUAGGGAGGGUCGAGGGUUUGAAUCCCAAACCUGAUAGGGUUCUGCAGUCAUGUUCUGCUGUCAUGUUCUGCAGUCAUGUUCAUGUUCUGCUGUCAUGUUCUGCUGUCAUGUUCUGCAGUCAUGUUCAUGUUCUGCUGUCAUGUUCUGCUGUCAUGUUCUGCAGUUAUGUUCAUGUUCUGCAGUCAUGUUCUGCAGUCAUGUUCUGCAGUCAUGUUCUUGUUCUGCAGACAUGUUCUGCAGUCAUGUUCUUGUUCUGCAGACAUGUUCUGCAGUCAUGUUUUGCAGUCAUGUUCUGCAGUCAUGUUCAUGUUCUGCAGUCAUGUUCAUGUUCUUCAGUCAUGUUCUGCAGUCAUGUUCUGAAGUCAUGUUCUUGUUCUGCAGCCAUGUUCUUGUUCUGCAGACAUGUUCU